Molecule: RNA transcript, 1268 nt
Organism: Hordeum vulgare subsp. vulgare (domesticated barley)
Lineage: Eukaryota; Viridiplantae; Streptophyta; Magnoliopsida; Poales; Poaceae
Exons: 7
Source: RefSeq, a predicted model, not a curated record
UCAAACGCCCCAGCGCUGUCUCGCCUUCCUCUUUCCCCCCACUUCUCCCUAGUCCAAAUCGUUGCAGUCUCCCUCCCGGUGCGGCGACGGCGCCGGAGCUGCCGCCGGCGAUGUUCCUGGAGCAGAUCCUCCCGCACCUACGGGGCGAGCGCCGCUGGGGGGGUGGGGUGAUGCGCGAUCUGGACGUCUCCCUGCGUGACCAGGGCCCGGUGCACUCGGUGGAGGAUACCAUGUUCCGAAGAUGCAGCUUGUUCGCGUCCGUGGCCCGCAUCGUGAGCGGCGCGGCAUCAGGUCUUGGUGGAGGAUUGCUCGCUCUCUGGUUUGCCACGGGACAAGUUCAGAAAUUGCUUGGGGUUCCACUUUCACGUCCUCCUGGAAUACUGAUGUUGGGCUAUGGUUGCGGUUGUUUUUCCUUGUACAUGAAGAUGCAGUAUUAUGAUCUCCAGAAGUGUUUUGCUGCAAUCGUUUUGGAGUAUGGACAAGAACACACGAAGAGGGAGCUAGCUAAAAUAAUACUCAAUAACCAAAGCACCGACAAAUCACUGGUUGAAGUUCUAAGGAGGCACUACGUGGUUGAUCAUCUAUUCAGUGACGAACAUCAAGAGAAGCCACUUUUCAGGUGGCGCCAACGCCAUUCGUAUGUGGACAACGCUUUUAUGGAAAGGUUGAAGGAGGAACUUACAGAAAUAGUGAAGAAAAAAGUUAUGGAAAGGGUGGAGAAGUAUUAAGCAAACAACACCGGGGCUGAAUCAAGUGCAAACGUUGUAAGUUCAGUUUAAUUUGCAGGGAUUAUUUGAGGAGGAUCCACUGGCUUGUAUACUUGGCACUACAGACAGCAACAGCACGAUGAACACGGGCACUAUCUUGAUGAGACCGGAGCUGCGCAUCGAAGAAGUUACUGGCAUCUACGUCUCCCACAUCCUGAAAACUGCCCCCAUCUCCAACAUGCUGGAAAUUGCUGCUGCAUUAUGAUGAAGUCUCUUAUCGGUGGUUAAAGAUUCUAGCCCUUCAUGCGUGCGUGCAACUGUCCUUGACAUAGUUUGCAGAGGCGUUACGUUUGAACAGGCGUGCUCGUGCGUGCAAUUCAACAAAUGGACACGUGUUAGGUUUGGUUGAAAUUCACAGCCUGCCCUCGCGAAACCAUGGGCUCGUUUGCUUGAUAUGCUUGCUAAUGAACACAUAUCUCGUUCUGCCGACGAGGUGUGGUAAGAUUUGACAAGGCAAUCAUCAGUACACUACUAAAUCUUUCUAAAAUGCGAUGAUAUUUA